This 374-nucleotide ribosomal RNA is filed under the name uncultured bacterium. Its description in RNAcentral is "bacterial SSU rRNA". It matches the Rfam family "Bacterial small subunit ribosomal RNA", at positions 64 to 429 of the family's 1533-position model. The record is from RNAcentral.
GUGUGCAGCUUACCGUGAGCAAUACGGAACCGGUGCACGGUGAUUGGGUGCGUUGCACGUGGGCCACCUGCCCUUGGAUGGGGAAUAACUCGCCGAAAGGCGAGCUAAUACCGCAUAACAUCCCGGAAACUCUUGUUUCUGGAUUCAAAGCCCGCAAGGGCGUCCAAGGUGGGGCCCGCGCCCGAUUAGCUUGUUGGCGAGGUAACGGCUCACCAAGGCUUUGAUCGGUAGCCGGUCUGAGAGGAUGGCCGGCCACACUGGAACUGAGACACGGUCCAGACUCCUACGGGAGGCAGCAGUGGGGAAUCUUGCGCAAUGGGCGAAAGCCUGACGCAGCGACGCCGCGUGGGGGAUGAAGCUUUUCGGAGUGUAAA